Molecule: ribosomal RNA, 274 nt
Filed under: uncultured bacterium
Lineage: Bacteria
Description: partial 16S ribosomal RNA
Rfam family: Bacterial small subunit ribosomal RNA
Source: RNAcentral
AUACGGAUGGUGCGAGCGUUAUUCGGAAUCACUGGGCAUAAAGGGCACGUAGGCGGCGCUGUAAGUCAGUAGUGAAAUCCCUCGGCUCAACCGAGGAACUGCCAUUGAAACUACAGUGCUAGAGUGCGGGAGGGGCAGACGGAAUUCCAGGUGGAGCGGUGAAAUGCGUAGAUAUCUGGAGGAACGCCAGGGGCGAAAGCGGUCUGCUGGCCCGCAACUGACGCUGAGGUGCGAAAGCUAGGGGAGCAAACAGGAUUAGAUACCCUAGUAGUCC